Molecule: ribosomal RNA, 497 nt
Filed under: uncultured bacterium
Lineage: Bacteria
Description: partial 16S ribosomal RNA
Rfam family: Bacterial small subunit ribosomal RNA
Source: RNAcentral
AUUGAACGCUGGCGGCAUGCCUUACACAUGCAAGUCGAACGGUAACGGGCCUUCGGGUGCCGACGAGUGGCGAACGGGUGAGAAUACAUCGGAACGUGCCCGAUCGUGGGGGAUAACGAGGCGAAAGAUUUGCUAAUACCGCAUACGAUCUACGGAUGAAAGCAGGGGAACGCAAGGCCUUGCGCGGACGGGGCGGCCGAUGGCAGAUUAGGUAGUUGGUGGGAUAAAAGCUUACCAAGCCGACGAUCUGUAGCUGGUCUGAGAGGAUGAUCAGGCGAACUGGGACUGAGAGACGGCCCAGACUCCUACGGGAGGCAGCAGUGGGGAAGUUUGGACAAUGGGCGCAAGCCUGAUCCAGCCAUGCCGCGUGCAGGAUGAAGGCCUUCGGGUUGUAAACUGCUUUUGUACGGAACGAAAAGCCUUCUUCUAAUACAGGGGGGUCAUGACGGUACCGUAAGAAUAAGCACCGGCUAACUACGUGCCAGCCGCCGCCGUAA